RNAcentral lists this long non-coding RNA (515 nucleotides) under Hordeum vulgare. RNAcentral describes it as "long non-coding RNA (HVUL_LNC014698)". The record is from RNAcentral. Lineage: Eukaryota; Viridiplantae; Streptophyta; Magnoliopsida; Poales; Poaceae.
CAUUUCAAGUAUAGAAACGACCAAAAAGCAGAGCAUACAGACAGAGAUCACGAGAGGACCGUCUUGAGCUUGUAGUUCCUGGCGAACGCGCUGUACACGAAGAAGUUGAUGAUGGAGAUGGCGGCCAUGAUCCAGAAGAAGUAGUCGAGGUGCCCCUCGUUGAGGUCGUCGGCGAUCCACCCCGGGCUGUCGGCCGUCGCCGUGAGCAGCGCGAUCACGGCGUAUAUGAAGGAGCUCAGGUAGCUUCCCAGCGCGAUGGUCAGCAGCGCCAGCGAGGUGCACAUGCUCUUCAUGGUGUCUGGCGCCUCGUUGUAGAAGAACUCCAGCUGCGCGAUGUAGCAGAAGACCUCCCCGCCGGCCAGGAAGAAGUACUGCGGCAGCUGCCACGCGAUGCUGAUCUGCUCGCCGCGCGCCGCGCUGCCGAGCCGGCUCGUCUCCACCACCGCCGCGAACGCCAUGGAGAUCGCCAUCAGGACGCGCCCGGCGCCCAUCCGCUGCAGCUGCGACGGCUCCCC